RNAcentral lists this ribosomal RNA (460 nucleotides) under uncultured bacterium. RNAcentral's name for it is "partial 16S ribosomal RNA". It matches the Rfam family "Bacterial small subunit ribosomal RNA", at positions 338 to 795 of the family's 1533-position model. The record is from RNAcentral.
CCUACGGGCGGCAGCAGUGAGGAAUAUUGGUCAAUGGGCGAGAGCCUGAACCAGCCAAGUCGCGUGAAGGAUGACGGCCCUACGGGUUGUAAACUUCUUUUGUCAGGGAGCAAUUGGGUCCACGCGUGGGCUUAGCGAGAGUACCUGAAGAAAAAGCAUCGGCUAACUCCGUGCCAGCAGCUGCGGUAAUACGGAGGAUGCGAGGGUUACCCGGAUUUAUGGGGUUAAAGGGGUGCGUAGGCGGAAUAUCAAGUCAGCGGUAAAAAUUCGGGGCUAAAUCCCGUCGUGCCGUUGAAACUGAUGUUCUUGAGUAGACGAGAAGUAUGCGGAAUGCGUGGUGUAGCGGUGAAAUGCAUAGAUAUCACGCAGAACUCCGAUUGCGAAGGCAGCAUACCGGCGCCCAACUGACGCUGAAGCACGAAAGCGUGGGUAUCGAACAGGAUUAGAUACCCCAGUAGUC